RNAcentral lists this ribosomal RNA (215 nucleotides) under uncultured Glomeromycotina. RNAcentral describes it as "partial small subunit ribosomal RNA". The stretch from base 91 to 215 matches the Rfam family "Eukaryotic small subunit ribosomal RNA", at positions 738 to 864 of the family's 1831-position model. The record is from RNAcentral. Lineage: Eukaryota; Fungi; Glomeromycota.
GGCCUGGCUGGGUGGUCCGCCUAACGGUGUGUACUGUCUGGCUGGGUCUUACCUCUUGGUGAACCGGCAUGCCCUUCAUUGGGUGUGUCGGGGAACCAGGACUUUUACCUUGAGAAAAUUAGAGUGCUCAAAGCAGGCCUAUGCCCGAAUACAUUAGCAUGGAAUAAUGAAAUAGGACGUGCGGUCCUAUUUUGUUGGUUUCUAGGAUCGCCGUA